This 24-nucleotide microRNA is filed under the name Sarcophilus harrisii (Tasmanian devil). RNAcentral describes it as "Sha-Mir-12475-P20b_5p (mature (guide))". Lineage: Eukaryota; Metazoa; Chordata; Mammalia; Dasyuromorphia; Dasyuridae. The record is from RNAcentral.
UAGACAUUCUGAUACUCCAUUGUU